Molecule: ribosomal RNA, 460 nt
Filed under: uncultured bacterium
Lineage: Bacteria
Description: partial 16S ribosomal RNA
Rfam family: Bacterial small subunit ribosomal RNA
Source: RNAcentral
CCUACGGGUGGCAGCAGUGAGGAAUAUUGGUCAAUGGACGAGAGUCUGAACCAGCCAAGUAGCGUGAAGGAUGACUGCCCUAUGGGUUGUAAACUUCUUUUAUAAAGGAAUAAAACGAGGCACGUGUGCCUUUUUGCAUGUACUUUAUGAAUAAGGAUCGGCUAACUCCGUGCCAGCAGCCGCGGUAAUACGGAGGAUCCGAGCGUUAUCCGGAUUUAUUGGGUUUAAAGGGAGCGUAGAUGGGUUGUUAAGUCAGUUGUGAAAGUUUGGGGCUCAACCGUAAAAUUGCAAUUGAUACUGGCAGUCUUGAGUACAGUUGAGGUAAGCGGAAUUCGUGGUGUAGCGGUGAAAUGCUUAGAUAUCACGAAGAACCCCGAUUGCGAAGGCAGCUUACUAAACUGUGACUGACAUUGAUGCUCGAAAGUGUGGGUAGCAAACAGGAUUAGAUACCCUUGUAGUC